This 508-nucleotide ribosomal RNA is filed under the name uncultured bacterium. RNAcentral describes it as "partial 16S ribosomal RNA". It matches the Rfam family "Bacterial small subunit ribosomal RNA", at positions 29 to 523 of the family's 1533-position model. The record is from RNAcentral.
AUUGAACGCUGGCGGCAGGCCUAACACAUGCAAGUCGAGCGGCAGCGGGAAAGUAGCUUGCUACUUUUGCCGGCGAGCGGCGGACGGGUGAGGAAUGCCUGGGAAAUUGCCCAGUCGAGGGGGAUAACAGUUGGAAACGACUGCUAAUACCGCAUACGCCCUACGGGGGAAAGCAGGGGACCUUCGGGCGUUGCGCGAUUGGAGAUGGCCAGGUGGGAUUAGCUAGUUGGUGAGGUAAUGGCUCACCAAGGCGACGAUCCCUAGCUGGUCUGAGAGGAUGAUCAGCCACACUGGAACUGAGACACGGUCCAGACUCCUACGGGAGGCAGCAGUGGGGAAUAUUGCACAAUGGGGGAAACCCAGAUGCAGCCAUGCCGCGUGUGUGAAGAAGGCCUUCGGGUUGUAAAGCACUUUCAGCGAGGAGGAAAGGUUGAUGCCUAAUACGUAUCAACUGUGACGUUACUCGCAGAAGAAGCACCGGCUAACUCCGUGCCAGCCGCCGCGGUAA